GCCUAGUUAGCUUAGUUGGUAGUGCGUCUGCCUUGUAAGCGCUAGGCCGCGGGUUCGAUUCCCGCUCUGUCCA
Molecule: transfer RNA, 73 nt
Filed under: Diaphorina citri (Asian citrus psyllid)
Lineage: Eukaryota; Metazoa; Arthropoda; Insecta; Hemiptera; Psyllidae
Rfam family: tRNA
About the family: Transfer RNA (tRNA) molecules are approximately 80 nucleotides in length.
Source: Rfam by way of RNAcentral